This 253-nucleotide ribosomal RNA is filed under the name uncultured Eubacteriales bacterium. RNAcentral describes it as "uncultured Clostridiales bacterium partial 16S ribosomal RNA". It matches the Rfam family "Bacterial small subunit ribosomal RNA", at positions 524 to 776 of the family's 1533-position model. The record is from RNAcentral. Lineage: Bacteria; Bacillati; Bacillota; Clostridia; Eubacteriales.
UACGUAGGGAGCAAGCGUUAUCCGGAUUUAUUGGGUGUAAAGGGUGCGUAGACGGAUUUGCAAGUUGGCUGUGAAAUCCCGAGGCUUAACUUCGGAAUUGCAACCAAAACUACAAGUCUUGAGUACUGGAGGGGAAUGCGGAAUUCCUAGUGUAGCGGUGAAAUGCGUAGAUAUUAGGAAGAACACCGGUGGCGAAGGCGGCAUUCUGGACAGUAACUGACGUUGAGGCACGAAAGUGUGGGGAGCAAACAGG